Molecule: ribosomal RNA, 253 nt
Filed under: uncultured bacterium
Lineage: Bacteria
Description: partial 16S ribosomal RNA
Rfam family: Bacterial small subunit ribosomal RNA
Source: RNAcentral
UACGUAGGUGGCAAGCGUUAUCCGGAUUUACUGGGUGUAAAGGGCGUGUAGGCGGGACUGCAAGUCAGAUGUGAAACCCAUGGGCUCAACCCAUGGCCUGCAUUUGAAACUGUAGUUCUUGAGUGAUGGAGAGGCAGGCGGAAUUCCGUGUGUAGCGGUGAAAUGCGUAGAUAUAUGGAGGAACACCGGUGGCGAAAGCAGCUCUCUGGUCUGUAACUGGCGCUGAGGCUCGAAAGCGUGGGUAGCGAACAGG